GUAGUCUCGCACAGAUGCAUAUCAAUAAGCGGAGGAAAAGAAACUAACAAGGAUUCCCUCAGUAACGGCGAGUGAAGCGGGAAGAGCUCAAAUUUGAAAUCUUCAAGGUUUUACCUUGACGAAUUGUAGUUUAAAGAAGUGUUUUCUGCUGAAGUUUUGGUAAAAGUUCUUUGGAAUAGGACAUCAUAGAGGGUGAGAAUCCCGUAUUUGACCAUUAUUUUCAGCUUUGUGAUACACUUUCAAAGAGUCGGAUUGUUUGGGAAUGCAGUCCAAAAUGGGUGGUAAAUUUCUUCUAAGGCUAAAUAUUGGCGAGAGACCGAUAGCGAACAAGUACCGUGAGGGAAAGAUGAAAAGAACUUUGAAAAGAGAGUUAAAUAGUACGUGAAAUUGUCAAAAGGGAAGCGUUUAACACCAGUGUUGUUUUCUGAAAAUCAACCUCUGUUAGCUUUAUGCAUGUUUGUUUAGACCUAAUCAGCUAUCUUGCAUGUUCUAUUGUUUGCAGUGGUGCACUUUUCAGUUUACAGGUCAACAUCAGUUUUUUUUUACCGUAAAAAAGUUAAAGAAAGGUAGCUCAUGGCUCCGGUCGUGAGUGUUAUAGUCUUUUUCCUAUGCGGUAGGAGAGACUGAGGUCUGCAGUGUAGGCUAUUUGGCUAGAUACUCAGGUGCUAUGUGAUACCAUUUCAUAAACAACUUGUUGAUUAUGUUUUGUCUAUUGCAUACUCGCUUGUACUAUCAUACCUACGCUUAGGAUGUUGAGUCGUAGAGCACGCAG
RNAcentral lists this ribosomal RNA (772 nucleotides) under uncultured Neocallimastigales. Its description in RNAcentral is "partial large subunit ribosomal RNA". It matches the Rfam family "Eukaryotic large subunit ribosomal RNA", at positions 24 to 628 of the family's 3401-position model. Lineage: Eukaryota; Fungi; Neocallimastigomycota; Neocallimastigomycetes; Neocallimastigales. The record is from RNAcentral.